Molecule: ribosomal RNA, 103 nt
Filed under: Providencia rettgeri
Lineage: Bacteria; Pseudomonadati; Pseudomonadota; Gammaproteobacteria; Enterobacterales; Morganellaceae
Also listed under: 1 other name
Description: partial 23S ribosomal RNA
Rfam family: Bacterial large subunit ribosomal RNA
Source: RNAcentral
GGUUAAGCGACUAAGCGUACACGGUGGAUGCCUAGGCAAUCAGAGGCGAUGAAGGACGUGCUAAUCUGCGAUAAGCGUCGGUAAGGUGAUAUGAACCGUUAUA